GGGGAUUUAGCUCAGUGGUAGAGUGCUUGCCUACCACUUGCAAGCGCAAGGCCCUGGGUUCAGUCCCCA
Molecule: transfer RNA, 69 nt
Filed under: Rattus norvegicus (Norway rat)
Lineage: Eukaryota; Metazoa; Chordata; Mammalia; Rodentia; Muridae
Rfam family: tRNA
About the family: Transfer RNA (tRNA) molecules are approximately 80 nucleotides in length. Their secondary structure includes four short double-helical elements and three loops (D, anti-codon, and T loops).
Source: Rfam by way of RNAcentral